GUAGGUGGCAAGCGUUGUCCGGAAUUAUUGGGCGUAAAGCGCGCGCAGGCGGUUCUUUAAGUCUGAUGUGAAAGCCCACGGCUCAACCGUGGAGGGUCAUUGGAAACUGGAGAACUUGAGUACAGAAGAGGAAAGCGGAAUUCCACGUGUAGCGGUGAAAUGCGUAGAGAUGUGGAGGAACACCAGUGGCGAAGGCGGCUUUCUGGUCUGUAACUGACGCUGAGGCGCGAGAGCGUGGGGGGAGCAAACAGGAUUAGAUACCCUGGUAGUCCACGCCGUAAACGAUGAGUGCUAAGUGUUAGGGGGUUUUCCGCCCCUUAGUGCUGCAGCUAACGCAUUAAGCACUCCGCCUGGGAGUACGGCCGCAGGCUG
Molecule: ribosomal RNA, 372 nt
Filed under: uncultured organism
Description: partial 16S ribosomal RNA
Rfam family: Bacterial small subunit ribosomal RNA
Source: RNAcentral